Molecule: unclassified non-coding RNA, 1021 nt
Filed under: Arabidopsis thaliana (thale cress)
Lineage: Eukaryota; Viridiplantae; Streptophyta; Magnoliopsida; Brassicales; Brassicaceae
Source: RNAcentral
AUCAGAGGGAGACUUAUCCUCCUUGUGUACGUCACAAACCUAGCGACGACCCUCUUGCUCUGUGCCGCACGUUACCUCUCUCAGAUUCCUCCCAAGCAAUCUCGUUUUCAAAUUCUUCGUAUGGUUUCGUGAGUUGUCUUUGAUUCCUUUCCGAAUUCAUCGUCGAUCUCAAAGUUAUUCCUAGCUUCCACUGCUUAAUCUGUACCAAGAAAGAUGUCUUAGUUCUUUGCUCAAACUCUUAGAUCAAGAUAUGGUGAAAAAAGAAAUUAACAAAGAAAAAGAUGAGCUCAAGUAACUCUAAGGCCUUGAACUCAAUGAGACAAAGUUGAAGAAGAAUAAGAAGUAGUAUGAAGAAGAAAUUAGAGAAUACAGAGAGUCGACAGAGUAUGAACAAGUGAAGAAAAUCAGAGAACGAAGAUACAGAAGAUGAGUAAGAUGAAGAAGAGGUUGAGUUUGAGGAAGAUGUUAAUGUAGAGGACCAAGCGGACAAUAGAGGUGAUCCCUCUAGGGAAAGGAUAAUGAACAAGAAAGAUAAGUUUCUGCAUGAGUUGUAUAAUAAAGAUCCUAAAGAGAUCUCAUGGAACUGGAUCAACAAAAUGUUCAAGAUAUUUGUGGCUGCCCAUGGCAUGAAGGGGAACUACACGGUCUGAAAUGGUUGAUUUUCUGGCUGUGCCAUAUACUAGAGGUCCCUAACAUGGCAGCAAUUCUAAUGAUCCCAAACACAAGGUGAGUAGCAAGAAUUUUUUGUCGUCUGCUCGAGGUUAGCGAGAGGCAAGCAUUCACCUCUCCUCCUGAGAGGUUGUGUGACCAUGUCAUGACUGCAACUCGAGCGAAUGUUUUCAAAUCACUUCAUGUGUAGAGAAAAUAUUGAAGAAAAGAUGUUAUGGUUCGUUCUACUUAAUUGUUUUGUUCUUUGUAAGAUAUUGGAUCACAUUUAAGGAACACAUUUUGGUCUGGGAUCUGUUUCUCUAACUUUUCCUAAAUACUCAAUGGACCUUGUGAGAGAUUGUUCUUACUUAUG